RNAcentral lists this ribosomal RNA (492 nucleotides) under uncultured bacterium. RNAcentral describes it as "partial 16S ribosomal RNA". It matches the Rfam family "Bacterial small subunit ribosomal RNA", at positions 28 to 507 of the family's 1533-position model. The record is from RNAcentral.
GAUGAACGCUAGCUACAGGCUUAACACAUGCAAGUCGAGGGGAAACGACAUCGAAAGCUUGCUUUUGAUGGGCGUCGACCGGCGCACGGGUGAGUAACGCGUAUCCAACCUGCCCAUCACUUGGGAAUAACCUUGCGAAAGUAAGACUAAUACCCAAUGACAUCCCACGAAGACAUCUGAAUGGGAUUAAUGAUUUAUCGGUGAUGGAUGGGGAUGCGUCUGAUUAGCUAGUUGGUGGGGUAACGGCCCACCAAGGCAACGAUGAGUAGGGGUUCUGAGAGGAAGGUCCCCCACAUUGGAACUGAGACACGGUCCAAACUCCUACGGGAGGCGGCAGUAAGGAAUAUUAGUCAAUGGGCGAUGGCCUGAACCAGCCAAGUAGCGUGCAGGAUGACGGCCCUAGGGGUUGUAAGCUGCUUUUAUAAGGGAAAAGUGUGGGUCUCGUGAGACUUUUUGCAUGUACCUUAUGAAUAAGGACCGGCUAAUUCCGUG